UUUCAGCAAAUAUCUCAAAGAGUGCUCGUAUUUGCUCAGAUCAUUUUUCUGAAAAAUCUUUUGAUACCAAUGGGUUACUAACGCGACUAAAACCAAAUGAAUUACCAUUGAAAGUACAAAAUGUAGAAGCUUCUACAUUUUGUACUUUCAGUGGCAAUGCAUUUGAUCUUCCAUUAAUGGUAAAAAAAGAGAAAGAAGAUUUUGUUGCAUAUACACAACCGUCAGCAUCAGAUGAACAAUCAUCGACUUCAGAUAAACAAACAAUGACAUCAAUACCACAUACAGCAGAAAAAGCAACGAUGGUAUCAUUGAAAAGAAUUUAUAAUUCUCCAGAAAAAUGUCGACUAAGAAAUCUAUUAAAAUACCAAAAAAAAGAAUACACGAAAAAAAUACGAAACUUGCAACAGAGAAUACGUCGAUGCAAUGACCAACUUUUGACAUUAAAAAACAUUUUGAAUAAUCUACGACAAAAACGCUUAUAGAAACAGAGCAGAGUGAAAUGCUACUUAGCCUAGAUCUGAAAUGACAAAGAGCAGCAAUAUACGUGGAAAUUGCGAGUUUACAAAAUUAGGAAAUUCAAGUGUUUGGCGUCUCUGUUUCUUAAUCUUAACAAUAGGAUUGAGAAUCUCAACUACUUGACGAUACUUGACAUUCUUAUCCUCUUGCCCAAUACAUUGUAGAGGACUGAGAAUAUUGACAGUAUAUAGUCAAGCUUUUACUGAUCCAUCAAUCUGUGAUGAUGAUGACGCUUUAAGACUAUUUCUGACAGACUGAGAAAAAUGAAAACGGAAAGAAGAGCUUAUUAUGUAAAUCAUAAGAAGUGUACUAUACAUUGGAAGAAACUUCAAACUCAAGAUCAAGGGACUAAAAUGAAUGUAUAAAAUUUAUAAUUUGUAUGAUCAUAUAUCCACUUUGUACGCG
Long non-coding RNA from Cyphomyrmex costatus, 921 nucleotides. RefSeq lists it as uncharacterized. NCBI's taxonomy places the organism in Eukaryota, Metazoa, Arthropoda, Insecta, Hymenoptera, Formicidae. The record is from RefSeq and is a predicted model, not a curated record. The transcript is spliced from 4 exons.